RNAcentral lists this unclassified non-coding RNA (240 nucleotides) under soil metagenome. Its description in RNAcentral is "partial contains 5.8S ribosomal RNA, internal transcribed spacer 2, and large subunit ribosomal RNA". The record is from RNAcentral.
AACGCACGAGACCUGCGGACCUGCGGAGGGAUCAUUACUGAAUUAAUGGAAGGUUGUAGCUGGCUCCUCGGAGCAUGUGCUCGCCUUUCAAAUUCAUCUUAACCACCUGUGCACUUUUGUAGACUGUGGUAACCCUCAGUGCAAUAGCACUGGAUUGAGAGACUGCGAUCUUAGCUGUCUUUCAACAUCACAGUCUACGUUUGUAUCUAUAUACUACAGUCUUAGAAUGUUUGUUGUGGG